GUUGUCGUAUUUACUUCAAUCCAUGUGUGUUGGUGUGGAUUAGAGUGGAAUUUAGUUCAAGUUUCACUCCAAUCCACUUCAAUACAUGUGGAUUGAUGUGAAUACGACU
Sorghum bicolor (sorghum) is the source of this 109-nucleotide microRNA precursor. It matches the Rfam family "MIR5565 microRNA precursor family". NCBI's taxonomy places the organism in Eukaryota, Viridiplantae, Streptophyta, Magnoliopsida, Poales, Poaceae. The record is from Rfam.